AGUGAACGCUGGCGGUAGGCCUAACACAUGCAAGUCGAACGGCAGCACAGUAAGAGCUUGCUCUUACGGGUGGCGAGUGGCGGACGGGUGAGGAAUACAUCGGAAUCUACUUUUUCGUGGGGGAUAACGUAGGGAAACUUACGCUAAUACCGCAUACGACCUACGGGUGAAAGCAGGGGAUCUUCGGACCUUGCGCGAUUGAAUGAGCCGAUGUCGGAUUAGCUAGUUGGCGGGGUAAAGGCCCACCAAGGCGACGAUCCGUAGCUGGUCUGAGAGGAUGAUCACCCACACUGGAACUGAGACACGGUCCAGACUCCUACGGGAGGCAGCAGUGGGGAAUAUUGGACAAAGGGCGCAAGCCUGAUCCAGCCAUACCGCGUGGGUGAAGAAGGCCUUCGGGUUGUAAAGCCCUUUUGUUGGGAAAGAAAAGCAGCAGGUUAAUACCCCGCUGUUCUGACGGUACCCAAAGAAUAAGCACCGGCUAACUUCGUG
Molecule: ribosomal RNA, 492 nt
Filed under: uncultured bacterium
Lineage: Bacteria
Description: partial 16S ribosomal RNA
Rfam family: Bacterial small subunit ribosomal RNA
Source: RNAcentral